This is a long non-coding RNA of Catharus ustulatus (Swainson's thrush), 327 nucleotides long. RefSeq lists it as uncharacterized. Lineage: Eukaryota; Metazoa; Chordata; Aves; Passeriformes; Turdidae. The record is from RefSeq and is a predicted model, not a curated record. The transcript has 3 exons.
CCCAGUCUGACAAUCUCUACCCAAAAGUGGAAGCCACUUUGCUGUGUUUCAACCAAGAGAAAUAUUUCUCUGGAAAAUGAGUACCUGAAGAGAUGGUCUGCCCUGCUGGGAAAUAGUGCAGUACAGAAUGGAUCUCACCGUUGGCAUUCAUGAGGAACCAGUCACUCCAAGUACAGCAAAGAUGCAGCUGCUACUUCACCUCCUCCCACAAUUACUGAUUGGAAGUCACACAUGCCAGAUGAAGUCAAGAACUCCCAGAUUAGGAAUUCACCUAUAUGAAGACAGAAUAAAGCAGAGCUUGUGUCUGGUAUUGACUCUUCUUUUGAG